CCUACGGGAGGCAGCAGUGGGGAAUAUUGGACAAUGGGGGCAACCCUGAUCCAGCCAUGCCGCGUGUGUGAAGAAGGCCCUCGGGUUGUAAAGCACUUUCAGUGAGGAAGAACGCCUGGUGGUUAAUACCCAGCAGGAAAGACAUCACUCACAGAAGAAGCACCGGCUAACUCCGUGCCAGCAGCCGCGGUAAUACGGAGGGUGCGAGCGUUAAUCGGAAUUACUGGGCGUAAAGCGCGCGUAGGUGGCUUGAUAAGCCGGUUGUGAAAGCCCCGGGCUCAACCUGGGAACGGCAUCCGGAACUGGCAAGCUAGAGUGCAGGAGAGGAAGGUAGAAUUCCCGGUGUAGCGGUGAAAUGCGUAGAGAUCGGGAGGAAUACCAGUGGCGAAGGCGGCUUUCUGGACUGACACUGACACUGAGGUGCGAAAGCGUGGGUAGCAAACAGGAUUAGAUACCCCUGUAGUC
Molecule: ribosomal RNA, 465 nt
Filed under: Vreelandella stevensii
Lineage: Bacteria; Pseudomonadati; Pseudomonadota; Gammaproteobacteria; Oceanospirillales; Halomonadaceae
Description: partial 16S ribosomal RNA
Rfam family: Bacterial small subunit ribosomal RNA
Source: RNAcentral